RNAcentral lists this ribosomal RNA (4291 nucleotides) under Sphingobacteriaceae bacterium. Its description in RNAcentral is "partial 23S ribosomal RNA". The stretch from base 4 to 3262 matches the Rfam family "Bacterial large subunit ribosomal RNA". Lineage: Bacteria; Pseudomonadati; Bacteroidota; Sphingobacteriia; Sphingobacteriales; Sphingobacteriaceae. The record is from RNAcentral.
UCAAAGAUAAAAAGGCUUAUGGUGGAUACCUAGGCAUCCAAAGACGAUGAAGGGCGUGGAAACCGACGAAACGCUUCGAGGAGCUGGAAACAAGCAAUGAUUCGGAGAUUCCCGAAUAGGGCAACCUCUUGUACUUCCUUUUGAAUUCAUAAAAAGGAAAGAGAUAACCCGGUGAAUUGAAACAUCUUAGUAGCCGGAGGAAAAUAAAGCAAACGCGAUUCCCGUAGUAGCGGCGAGCGAACUGGGAACAGCCUAAACCAGCGUCACUUUUAGUGAUGUCGGGGUAGUGGGAAGAAACAAUGUUUUUUAAAUUUCUUUAUUUAUUAUAACCAAUCACUGACAUCUCUGACAUCUCCUUUGGAGAUGUUUGAAGAUGUCAGUGAUGUUAUAAAAUUUUGAGCAAUCUACAAACUUAGCUAAACGAAGCAGCUGAAUCCUGCACCAGAGACGGUGAAAGUCCGGUAGUUUAAAGUUAAGUCAUUAAAAAACAAUUCUUAUCCCGAGUAGCAUGGGGCACGUGAAAUCCCGUGUGAAUCAGCGAGGACCACCUCGUAAGGCUAAAUACUCUUGGAUGACCGAUAGCGAAAUAGUACCGUGAGGGAAAGGUGAAAAGAACCCCUGUAGGGGAGUGAAAUAGAACAUGAAACCGUAAGCUGUCAAGCAGUGGGAGAAUAUUUAACAAAACUUUGUUUUGUUUCAAGUUUGACCGCGUGCCUGUUGAAGAAUGAGCCGGCGACUUAUAAGGAGUGGCUUGGUUAAGAGAAAAACUCGAAGCCAAAGCGAAAGCGAGUCUUAAUAGGGCAAUAAAAUUGUCACUUCUUAUGGACCCGAACCCGGGUGAUCUAAUCAUGGCCAGGAUGAAGCUUGGGUUAAACCAAGUGGAGGUCCGAACCGACCGAUGUUGAAAAAUCGGCGGAUGAGUUGUGAUUAGGGGUGAAAUGCCAAUCGAACUCGGAGCUAGCUGGAUCUCCCCGAAAUGCGUUGAGGCGCAGCGGUUAACGAUGGGCUGCCUAGGGGUAAAGCACUGUUUCGGUGCGGGCUGCGAGAGCGGUACCAAAUCGUAGCAAACUAAGAAUACUAGGCAUUGCUUUCCGUUAACCAGUGAGACAGUGGGGGAUAAGCUUCAUUGUCGAGAGGGAAACAGCCCAGAUCACCAGCUAAGGCCCCAAAAUGACCGCUAAGUGGUAAAGGAGGUGAGAAUGCUGAAACAACCAGGAGGUUUGCUUAGAAGCAGCCACCCUUUAAAGAGUGCGUAAUAGCUCACUGGUGGAGCGUUCUUGCGCCGAAAAUGAACGGGACUAAGCGGUCUGCCGAAGCUGUGGGUAAUAUCAAAAAACAACGAAAAACUUUAAAAUCUUCUUUUUUACAUCGAUUUUAACAUCACCCCUGGUGAUGUCAGAUCUAUCAGAUGUCAGUAUUUUUUAAAAUGUUUAAUUUGAUGUUACGGUAGGGGAGCGUUCCGCUCUAGGGUGAAGCUCCAACGUAAGUUGGUGUGGACAAAGCGGAAGUGAGAAUGUCGGCUUGAGUAACGAAAACAUUGGUGAGAAUCCAAUGCCCCGAAAACCUAAGGCUUCCUCCACUAGGCUCGUCCAUGGGGGGUUAGUCGGGACCUAAGGCCAGGCCGAAAGGCGUAGUCGAUGGAAAACAGGUUAAUAUUCCUGUACUUCUUUUUAAGUGGUACCGAGGGACGAAGGAGGGAACGGUUGGUCAAUAUUGGCUGUUGGCGGAAACGUUCAAGGUGAUGAAAGAUAGAAUAAAAACUAUUCUUGAGCUGAGACGUGAUACGGUAUUAUUCCCUGUAUGAGAGCUUUGCUCAAAUUCAAAAUAAUACUCAACUAGUUGUCAAACUUCCUAGAAAAGCUCGAACUUCCAAUACUUAAAAAUAACCCGUACCCGAAACCGACACAGGUAGGUAGGUAGAGUAUACCAAGGGGCGCGAGAUAACUCUCUCUAAGGAACUCGGCAAAAUGGCCCCGUAACUUCGGGAGAAGGGGUGCCCUCUGUCUAAUAGAUAAGAGGGCCGCAGUGACCAGGCCCAGGCGACUGUUUACCAAAAACACAGGUCUCCGCUAAGUCGUAAGACAAUAUAUGGGGGCUGACGCCUGCCCAGUGCCGGAAGGUGAAGGAAGUUGGUUACUUGAGCACGCUCAAGGAAGCUGACAACCGAAGCCCCGGUGAACGGCGGCCGUAACUCUGACGGUCCUAAGGUAGCGAAAUUCCUUGUCAGGUAAGUUCUGACCCGCACGAAAGGUGUAACGAUCUGGGCACUGUCUCGGAGAGAGGCUCGGUGAAAUAGACAUGUCCGUGAAGAUGCGGACUACCUGCACCUGGACAGAAAGACCCUAUGAAGCUUUACUGUAGCCUGUAAUUGAAUUUGGGCUUUUCUUGCGCAGUCUAGGUGGGAGGCGUUGAAAGUUUCUUUCCGGAGAAACUAGAGCCAUCAGUGAGAGACCACUCUGGAGAAGCUAGAAUUCUAAUGGCGCUCCUUGAAUCAGGACGCUUGACAGUUUCAGGUGGGCAGUUUGACUGGGGCGGUCGUCUCCUAAAAGGUAACGGAGAUGUGCAAAGGUUCCCUCAGGCUGGACGGAAAUCAGCCGAAGAGUGUAAAGGCAGAAGGGAGCUUGACUGCAAGACCUACAAGUCGAGCAGGGCCGAAAGGCGGCCUUAGUGAUCCGACGGUACCGAGUGGAAGGGCCGUCGCUCAACGGAUAAAAGUUACUCUAGGGAUAGAUUGUUGUCCCGCUUGGUAGUAAUGUCAAGGCAACAAACUGGGUGAAUUGCAAGGAGCGCUAAGUGAAAAAUAUUCAUAUGCUAAUUUGCAGCGAAGCUCAUCGAAAACAUAAAUUAACACUUUCUUUGAAAGUGUUAGUAGGUGAGAACGUUCAACGACUAGAGGGUGAGGAUGUGUUACCAAUAAUCCCUCCACGAGUGCCCGGCAACUUAUAUUUAAAUACUAAUAUUAGUAUAUUAGUAACAAGUUGAUGACAUAGUCUGAACUCCUUGGAAACACGGAGAAACAAGGAUUUAAAUAUCUUUGUGAUAACAUAUUGAACAGGCUGAUCUUCCCCAAGAGUUCACAUCGACGGGAAGGUUUGGCACCUCGAUGUCGGCUCAUCGCAACCUGGGGCGGUAGUACGUCCCAAGGGUUGGGCUGUUCGCCCAUGAAAGCGGUACGUGAGCUGGGUUCAGAACGUAAACAUCAUUGCGUUGAUUAGUAGUAAUAUUAAUCUAGUUUCGGCUUAUAUCGGUGAACCCUUCUUCAGUCAAUUAUAAAAAAUUAAAAAAAAAGCUGAAUGGCAAUACCGAGGGAAGAAUAAAUGAACAAAAUUAAUAAAUUAUCAGAGGUAGAAAAAGCUUAUAUUAGUGGGUUUUUAGAUGGGGAUGGUUCUAUAAAUGGUCAAAUUGUACGAAGAAAAGAUUACCUUUUCAAGUUUCAAAUACGAAUUAGUAUAACUUUUUUUCAAAAAACAUCCAGACAUUGGUUUAUUCUUUGGUUACACAAAAAAUUACAAUUAGGAACAAUUCGAAAAAGACCUGAUGGGAUGUCUGAAUAUACUAUUAUUGGACCCCAAAAUGUUGAAAUAGUUUUAGAACACAUUAAACCUUAUUUAAAAAUUAAACGAAAACAGGCUAUUCUUGCCUUGCACAUUAUUAAAAACAAAUCUAAAUCACAAGAUCUCAACUCUUUUUUAAAGUGUUGUCAACUAGCAGACAAGUUUUCAGUUUUAAAUGAUUCGAAAAAGCGAACCAUUACUUCACUUGUUGUGAGAUCAGAAUUAGGUUUUUUUGAUUGAUUUAUUCCCUGUAGAGACUUCGAUAUAAAUAAUGAAAAAGAUAUCGAGAUAUUUUAUCUGAUUAGGUAAAAUAUAACACGCCGACUCCUUUUAUAUGUUAUUGAGCAAGUUAUAUGUUAUUGAACAAAUAACAAGUAAAUAAAAGGAUGAAGAUAUAGUCCAUGCCUUUUGGAAACUUUAGGAAUUACAUGCGUGAGACAGUUCGGUCCAUAUCCGGUGUAGGCGUUAGAGCAUUGAGAGGAGCCUUCCAUAGUACGAGAGGACCUAGAAGGGCGCACCGCUAGUAUACCAGUUAUCGUUCCAACGGUAAACGCUGGGUAGCCAAGUGCGAAGUGGAUAACUGCUGAAAGCAUCUAAGUAGGAAGCCCACCUCAAGAUGAGUGCUCUCUAGAGGUCUUGGCAAGACAAGCCGUUCGAUAGGUGUCAGGUGGAAGGCCAGUAAUGGUUGAAGCUGAGACAUACUAACAGACCGAUUGAAUUUGAUCUUUUAUAUUUUA